GGUAAAGCCAAUGAUUAGAGGC
Molecule: non-coding RNA, 22 nt
Filed under: Arabidopsis thaliana (thale cress)
Lineage: Eukaryota; Viridiplantae; Streptophyta; Magnoliopsida; Brassicales; Brassicaceae
Source: RNAcentral